RNAcentral lists this long non-coding RNA (728 nucleotides) under Brassica rapa (field mustard). RNAcentral's name for it is "long non-coding RNA (BRAP_LNC003801)". Lineage: Eukaryota; Viridiplantae; Streptophyta; Magnoliopsida; Brassicales; Brassicaceae. The record is from RNAcentral.
UAGUUAUCAAUAUAAAGAAAACUUAACUACAAUCCACAUAGUACAUUCAGAAAAAAAUCUAACGAAGCCGUUACGUAUAAGUAGAUGAAUUUUAUUUCCAAUGUACCAAAAAACCGCUCUCUUCAACAUUCUAAAAAAUGGGGGAAAAGAGAUUUUCCGUAUUGUGUUGUUGCUUUCGAAACGAUGUUGUUUCUUCUAUUACACACAUAUUAUAGUUAAAAAUUGCUUCAAAUUUAGAAUCCGUUUAUAUUUUUUGAUAUUUUUAAUACAACUUUGACUAAAAACUGAUAAUAGUUUGAGUUCAUAUGUUAAAUUUUAUAUGGAUUUCUUAAGUUGAAAUUUUAUUAUUUUUCUGUGUUUUUUUUUAUUUUUUUCUUAUAGUUUACAUUAUUUUUUCUUAAAUAGUGACAAAUAUUUUUAUAAGUUAGAUUAAUUAAUUCAACUAUGACAUGAUAGGUAAAUGGCGCCAAUUGGUUCUUAUUGAACUUGUACUCAUCAUUUUUGCCUCCAACACAUCCAUAAUAUAUGUAAGGCACGAAAAGAUAAUUGAGUAACAUGAGUGAACUUAAGAAGAUUUAUUUUUAUAUUCACUUGUUUAUUUGAUAACCGAAAAAUUGUAGACUAACUAAUGUUAAUGGACUCAGUUAACCAUAUUUCACUAUCUAGUUUACCGGUAGCACCAAAUAUCUAUAACAUAAUUCAUUUUUGUAGGUAAUUUAUAGUUUAUA